RNAcentral lists this ribosomal RNA (242 nucleotides) under uncultured bacterium. RNAcentral describes it as "partial 16S ribosomal RNA". It matches the Rfam family "Bacterial small subunit ribosomal RNA", at positions 91 to 334 of the family's 1533-position model. The record is from RNAcentral.
CGGACCGGCGCACGGGUGAGUAACGCGUAUGCAACCUGCCUGAUACCGGGGUAUAGCCCAUGGAAACGUGGAUUAACACCCCAUAGUACUUUUAUCCUGCAUGGGAUGUGAGUUAAAUGUUCAAGGUAUCGGAUGGGCAUGCGUCCCAUUAGUUAGUUGGCGGGGUAACAGCCCACCAAGACGAUGAUAGGUAGGGGUUCUGAGAGGAAGGUCCCCCACAUUGGUACUGAGACACGGACCAA